Molecule: small RNA, 27 nt
Filed under: Bombyx mori (domestic silkworm)
Lineage: Eukaryota; Metazoa; Arthropoda; Insecta; Lepidoptera; Bombycidae
Description: ovarian small RNA-26702
Source: RNAcentral
UCCACGUCCACUAGACGCGCGGGCAUC